GACGAACGCUGGCGGCGUGCUUAACACAUGCAAGUCGAACGAUGAAGCUGGAGCUUGCUCCGGUGGAUUAGUGGCGAACGGGUGAGUAACACGUGAGCAAUCUGCCCUUGACUCUGGGAUAACUGCGGGAAACUGUAGCUAAUACCGGAUACUUUCAUUGGAAGGCAUCUUCUGGUGAAGAAAGAAUUUCGGUCAAGGAUGAGCUCGCGGCCUAUCAGCUUGUUGGUGAGGUAACGGCUCACCAAGGCGACGACGGGUAGCCGGCCUGAGAGGGUGACCGGCCACACUGGGACUGAGACACGGCCCAGACUCCUACGGGAGGCAGCAGUGGGGAAUAUUGCACAAUGGGCGCAAGCCUGAUGCAGCAACGCCGCGUGAGGGAUGAAGGCCUUCGGGUUGUAAACCUCUUUUAGCAGGGAAGAAGCGAAAGUGACGGUACCUGCAGAAAAGGCACCGGCUAACUACGUGCCAGCAGCCGCAGUAA
This 484-nucleotide ribosomal RNA is filed under the name uncultured bacterium. RNAcentral describes it as "partial 16S ribosomal RNA". It matches the Rfam family "Bacterial small subunit ribosomal RNA", at positions 28 to 523 of the family's 1533-position model. The record is from RNAcentral.